CACAGAAGCUGGUAACUGCAGCAGCACAGACAGCACGGAGCAGAUGCCUGGGAGUUGAAGGUCUGCCACUUGCCGGCACCUCUGUCACCAGCAGGAACAUGGGAAGCUCAGAGUCCCGGGUGUCCUCUGUCCCAGCUCAGGAGCUGGGCACAUUCAUCCAGAAGCAGCUGCGGCCCUAUGAGAGCUGUGAGAAGCAGAUCCAGGAGACCGUGGGUGUCAUCUGCUCCAUCCUGCUGGGAGGCGGCAUCCCGCUGGUGCAGGGUGUGGCCGUGGGUGGCUGCUACGGCAGGAAGACUGUCUUGAGAGGCGAUUCCCAUGGCACCCUCGUCCUCUUCCUCAGUUGCUUAGAGCACUUCCAGGAUCAGACGAAACCCCAGGACGAAAUCCUCAAGAGCGUCAUGUCCCAGCUGGAGGACAGUCGGAGCAGGCAGAGGCUGAAACACCAGUGGGAGACCCUCAGGACCCCUGGGGGGAUCUCAAUCAGGGUGUCCACGCCAUGGCAGAAGGUCACUUUCGAGGUGCUGGCUGCCUUCAAUGCCCUGAGUUUAAGCGCAAACCCCACGCCCUGGCUGUAUCGAGAACUCAUCAGAUCCAUGGAUGAGACCAAAGCCGCGCCGGGCAAGUUCUCUGUCUGCUUCGCUCAACUCCAGGAGAAGUUCUUUAAGAAGUAUCCCCCUAAAGUGAAGGACCUGAUCCUCCUGAUGAAGCGCUGGUAUAGACAGUGUCCCAAGGAAGGGCCGUCCCAUGAGCCACUGUCCACCUAUGCUCUGGAGCUGCUGGCUGUGUACGCCUGGGAGCAGGGCUGCAGGGCUGAGGACUUCAACAUUGCAGAAGGUGUCAGGGCCAUCCUGGGGCUGAUCCGGCGUCCAGAGCAGCUGUGUGUCUAUUGGACGGUCAACUACAACCUGGAGGAUGCGACUGUCAGGAACAGACUCCUGCGCCAGCUUGGGUCCAAGAGGCCCGUCAUCCUGGACCCAGUGGAUCUAACCCACAAUGUGGGCGGAUACGUCCCCUGGCAGGACCUGCAGGCAGAAGCGCAGGCCUGGCUGGCCUCGCUCAGCUCCACACCAGCCUGGAGUGUUCUGCCAGCGCCUCUCUUCAUGACCCCAGGCCAUCAGCUGGACAAGUUCAUCAAGGACUUUCUCGAGCCCAAUGAAGAUUUCCUAUGUCAGAUCAGGAAAGCUGUCGACAUCAUCUGUUCAUUCCUCAGAGAAACUUGCUUUAAGUCUUCACCUACCAAAGUCCAAAGGAUCAUCAAGGGGGGGUCCACCGCCAAGGGCACAGCGCUGAAGACCGGCUCAGAUGCCGACAUCGUCGUGUUCCUGAGCUCACUGAAGAGCUUCCCCUCCCAAAAAACCUACCGGAGCGAAAUCGUCCAGGAAAUCCGCACGCAGCUGGAGGCUUGCCGGCAGCAGCACCAGUUUGAAGUGAAGUUUGAGAUUUCCAAAUGGACAGCUCCCAGGGUGCUUAGCUUCUCCCUGAAAUCCCAACACCUCAAUGAAAGUGUGGACUUCGAUGUGCUGCCUGCCUAUGACGCACUGGGUCCAGGAAAGUCCACCCUUUGGGCCUAUGAAGAGCUCAUCAAUGUGUACAGAUCUUCAGACAUCAUCGGGGGAGAGUUUUCUACCUGUUUCACAGAGCUCCAGCGCGACUUCAUUCUUUCCCAGCCCACCAAACUGAAGAGCUGCAUUCGCCUGGUAAAAUACUGGUAUAAACAGUGUGAAAAGAAAAUGAAGCCAAAGGGAUCCCUGCCCCCAAAGUACGCCCUGGAGCUGCUCACCAUCUAUGCCUGGCAGCAGGGCAAUGGGAUGGAAGAUUUCAGCACUGCAGAAGGUUUCCGGACGGUCCUGGAGCUGGUCACAAAGUAUCAGCAGCUCUCCAUCUACUGGACCGACAAUUACAACUUCCAAGAUGAGACGACAAGGCAGUUCCUGCUGGCCCAGCUCCAAAGGACCAGGCCCAUAAUCUUGGAUCCAGCCGAACCCACUGGUGAUGUGGGUGGUGGGGACCGCUGGUGUUGGCACCUUCUGGCAAAAGAAGCGAAGGAAUGGUUUUCCUCCCUCUGCUUCAGGGAUGGCAUGGGGAACUCUGUCCAGCCGUGGAAAGUACCAGUAAGUGCUCUAAAAGAGGCCUGACCCGCACACCGCUUCACAGCAGGCUUGACUCGAGAAUUUCUCCUGCUACGACCAUGCUGAAUAAUUCAAAGAACAAAAAACUGAAGUGAUCGUUGCUGAAACAAUGGCUCCCCUCCCCUAAUCUGUUACAAGUGAUCCUGAGGCCGAGACCCCAGGACUCACGCUGCAGGGAAGUGGAGCUUUCUCCAGGACGGAAGGGUCCCCAGCAUCAGCCGCAGUAACAACACAUGGGGCUGCUUGUGCUUCACUGGGCAUGGGAUGGGCACUGUGAGGAUGCUGAGGUGUGUCUUUGGUCUCAGGGUCCCCUGGCAUCGGAGACCUGGCUCUUUCUGGCUGUGGGCUUUGGCGUCACAUUCCUUAGUUGGUGGCUUUGGUACUCAUGGCCCACACUGCAGCAGCAGCACCUCCAGACGGUGAACCCAGGCAGGAUGAACAGAAGGGGGAAAGAUCGGCAGGACCAGAGCACAGGGAUUUUAUCAGACGCUUCACGCAGGAAUUCUUCCACUUCACCUCCUAGAAUGAAUUACUGUGUGGCUGCAGAGAGGGCAUGACAAUGACCGUGGAUAUGGAUUGGGUCGGUCACUCGAGACUCCCGGCCACCCCCUCCUGGGGUCCCCCUCCUGCCAGGCAGCCCCUGGGCACCCCACCAUGGUGCAUCCCCAUCCGGGACUCUGGUCCCUUCGCUCACACCCCCAGCUUCUUUCUUUAAAGCAGGCUUUCUCAGGCUGGGACUCUUGACAUUUGAGGCCAGAUGCUUCUCUGCGUAGAAGCGUCUCCUGCACAUUGUAGGACAUUGAUCCCAAGCCUCAUGCUACUCACCG
Octodon degus (degu) is the source of this 2956-nucleotide RNA transcript. It is a transcript of the gene named 2'-5'-oligoadenylate synthetase 2, with no coding region annotated. The record is from RefSeq and is a predicted model, not a curated record. Lineage: Eukaryota; Metazoa; Chordata; Mammalia; Rodentia; Octodontidae. The transcript has 11 exons.